GGGUCAGUAGGUUGGUCGUGCCACCGGUACGUACUGGUCUCACUGAUUCCUCCUUCCUGAAGAACCGUAAUGCCAUUAAUUUGGUGUUGCAGGGAAACAGGACUGUUACUUUGAAAAAAUUAGAGUGUUUAAAGCAAGCUAACGCUUGAAUACAUUAACAUGGAAUAAUGAAAUAGGACGAUCGAUCCUAUUUUGUUGGUUUCUAGGAUUGACGUA
Molecule: ribosomal RNA, 216 nt
Filed under: Glomeromycotina sp.
Lineage: Eukaryota; Fungi; Glomeromycota
Description: partial small subunit ribosomal RNA
Rfam family: Eukaryotic small subunit ribosomal RNA (bases 40-216)
Source: RNAcentral